UACGAAGGGUGCAAGCGUUGUUCGGAUUUAUUGGGCGUAAAGCGCGCGCAGGCGGAUUAAUAAGUCAGGUGUGAAAUCUCGGGGCCCAACCCCGAAACUGCGCCUGAAACUAUUAAUCUAGAGUUAUCCAGAGGGAAGGGGAAUUUCACGUGUAGGGGUAAAAUCCGUAGAGAUGUGAAGGAACACCAGAGGCGAAGGCGCCUUCCUGGGGAUACACUGACGCUGAGGCGCGAAAGCGUGGGGAGCAAACAGG
RNAcentral lists this ribosomal RNA (253 nucleotides) under uncultured bacterium. RNAcentral's name for it is "partial 16S ribosomal RNA". It matches the Rfam family "Bacterial small subunit ribosomal RNA", at positions 524 to 776 of the family's 1533-position model. The record is from RNAcentral.